This is a small nuclear RNA of Peromyscus californicus insignis, 160 nucleotides long. RefSeq annotates it as U1 spliceosomal RNA. The transcript has a single exon. Lineage: Eukaryota; Metazoa; Chordata; Mammalia; Rodentia; Cricetidae. The record is from RefSeq and is a predicted model, not a curated record.
AUACUUACCUAGCAGGGGAGAUACAAAUAUCGUGAAGAUGGGUUUCCUAGGGUGAGGAUAAUUCACUCAGGAUGUGCUAACCCUUGCAAUUUCCCCAAAUUCAGGAAACUCAACUACAUAAUUUGUGGUAGUGAGGAACUGUAUUCAUGCUCUCUCCUUA